GCCGCAGUAGCUCAGUCGGUAGAGCACAUCAUUCGUAAUGAUGGGGUCGGGGGUUCGAUUCCCUUCUGCGGCACCA
RNAcentral lists this transfer RNA (76 nucleotides) under Devosia sp. Micro-HW1. RNAcentral describes it as "tRNA-Thr". It matches the Rfam family "tRNA". From Rfam's summary of the family: Transfer RNA (tRNA) molecules are approximately 80 nucleotides in length. Their secondary structure includes four short double-helical elements and three loops (D, anti-codon, and T loops). Further hydrogen bonds mediate the characteristic L-shaped molecular structure. tRNAs have two regions of fundamental functional importance: the anti-codon, which is responsible for specific mRNA codon recognition, and the 3' end, to which the tRNAs corresponding amino acid is attached (by aminoacyl-tRNA synthetases). tRNAs cope with the degeneracy of the genetic code in two manners: having more than one tRNA (with a specific anti-codon) for a particular amino acid; and 'wobble' base-pairing, i.e. permitting non-standard base-pairing at the 3rd anti-codon position. Lineage: Bacteria; Pseudomonadati; Pseudomonadota; Alphaproteobacteria; Hyphomicrobiales; Devosiaceae. RNAcentral also lists the same sequence under 2 other names. The record is from RNAcentral.